AAAAGAAAAAGGCAAACUCGCCGAAAGACGGGGACGCAAAGCUACAGGGUCUAAGGUGCUGACUGCACUAUGACAGCCUGGUUGCCAUC
This 89-nucleotide non-coding RNA is filed under the name Peptococcaceae bacterium. RNAcentral describes it as "c-di-GMP sequence". It matches the Rfam family "c-di-GMP-I riboswitch aptamer". From Rfam's summary of the family: GEMM was predicted in a large-scale screen for bacterial structured RNA regulatory elements. Genes associated with GEMM are involved in a diverse array of functions, including chemotaxis regulation, signal transduction, secretion and chitin. Lineage: Bacteria; Bacillati; Bacillota; Clostridia; Eubacteriales; Peptococcaceae. The record is from RNAcentral.